UACGGAGGGAGCUAGCGUUAUUCGGAAUUACUGGGCGUAAAGCGUACGUAGGCGGCUUUGUAAGUAAGAGGUGAAAGCCCGGAGCUCAACUCCGGAACUGCCUUUUAGACUGCAUCGCUUGAAUCCAGGGAGAGGUGAGUGGAAUUCCGAGUGUAGAGGUGAAAUUCGUAGAUAUUCGGAAAGAACACCAGUGGCGAAGGCGGCUACACUGGACUUGGUAUUGA
Molecule: ribosomal RNA, 224 nt
Filed under: uncultured bacterium
Lineage: Bacteria
Description: partial 16S ribosomal RNA
Rfam family: Bacterial small subunit ribosomal RNA
Source: RNAcentral